This is a long non-coding RNA of Oreochromis niloticus (Nile tilapia), 1781 nucleotides long. RefSeq lists it as uncharacterized. The record is from RefSeq and is a predicted model, not a curated record. The transcript has 4 exons. NCBI's taxonomy places the organism in Eukaryota, Metazoa, Chordata, Actinopteri, Cichliformes, Cichlidae.
GUGGCUAUAGUAUAAGCAUAAGUAUCCACACAGAACAGGCUUAAUUUUGACCGUAACAUGUGAACGAGGGCAAUACAAUUGAAGCAAAAGUAGAAAAUGAAAUGAGUAAGAACACACAUGCUGAAAAUUGAAACAAAUUCUGCCCAGCAACAUGACAUACCAGCGGCGGGAAGGGGGCGCUAUCUUUUCGCGCCACUGAGACAAAGGAGACAAAGAUGGAGGUUACGUCGCCUAGUAUGUUGUCAGACCUUACAGAGCAUUAUUAUGAUCCAGUCUCCCAUUAUGGAUUCCUAAACUGCGCAACCUUAGACGGAAUCUCGACCAGGGGCAGAGACGUUAUAAGUAGCGAAAAGUGACAGAUGACUGUGGUGAAGACAAGAAGCUCAGGCAAGAGGAUGGGAAUACCAGCAGCACAGAUGAGUGGGUCACCCUGAUCAAAAGAUUGCGGCCCUCAGCUGAGAACCUUCCAACUAUCAUGUCAGGCAUGGAGGAAACAUACACCAGUCGCAGAGCCUGGAUUAGCAAGGACUCCCCCACUGCCGCUGAAAUAUUCAGAGAGUACCCACGGUUUUUGGACAUACCAAGUCUGGUGGACUUGGAGUUUGGCAAGCUUACAGGUGGAAAGACGGAUCUCUUUUUACGAAAAUGGGAAGCCAGUAUCAUUCCGAAGCGCACCCCCCCCCCCGCGUGUUAACACACCUGCUUCCACCAGUUGGCGCCAGUCGUUGCAGCCUUAAAUCAGCUAUAACGCACCUGGUUGAUUUUGCACUGCCUGGAACAAGUAUUGCAUCGUUUUGCAGUGAUCCUGAAGCAUCAUCCACAACACACCAACCCCAGCUGAUAUGCAUCGGUGAUCUAAAGAGUGCAACCAGGCAGUACAUCAUUGUUGCUAAGAAUGACAAAGUAACCAUUCCUCUGAAUGAAGCCCAGAGGUGUGUUGUGGAUAAGCUUUUCAAACUGUACUGGGUAUGUAACUUGUCCUAUCCAGCACUGCUUGUCUUCACCUUCUUUGAGUUUGUCUAUGACCUGCUGCUGUCCACCCAAAGGAAAACCAAAGUACUGGAGCUGAUUGCACAGAUUAAAGCAUGCAAGUAAAAUGUUCACCUGUCCAAAAUGUAGAGAGUCUCUGUUCACAAAGGUGAGAAACCUCAUUUGGCGUCUUUGUCAAAUACACUGCUUAUCGGGACUCUGACCAUUUUUAUGCCUAUGCAGUGGAAAGGUCAGACAAUAUGAACUGAUUGGCUGAAAUUUUUGAUUUUCUGCCUUUAAAUAUAGUGACAAGCUUUGAUGCUAAUAAGCUGUAUUUAAACCCAAGGUACAUAAUUGUAUAACCUGGAUGCUAUAUUCGCCAAAAUGUACCAUAUGUUUUUCUGCUUGCAUGCAACCGCACAUUUGUUGAAUGUUGACAAUUUGUUGAAGAUGACAAUUGUUACCUUUAAAAAAUUUUAAUUCAUGUAUUGUCUGGACAUGAUUAUAUCAGAACAUAUAUAUAGAUAGAUAGAUAGAUAGAUAUAUGAUAUUUUGCCCUUUUUUCAUUUUUUUUGACAUUUUAAUGAUCUAGAGAGAUAGAAAGUUAGUCAGAUAUGAAUUUUGUUUGAUUUUGUCAAGUAAAAAUUGUGAUAUAGCUUUGGCUAAAAUUGAAUUUAAAACAUUUUAAUUGAAAAGAUUCCGACAGCUGUUGUUUAUUCAGUUUGUAAUGAUUUAUAAUAUGCUAAAUAAAAAAUGGAAUUCAAUAAAUGUAUAAUAUAUACCCAUCUUUUUUCUCCUUUUUUUUCAAAAAU